Syngnathus typhle (broad-nosed pipefish) is the source of this 487-nucleotide long non-coding RNA. RefSeq lists it as uncharacterized. Lineage: Eukaryota; Metazoa; Chordata; Actinopteri; Syngnathiformes; Syngnathidae. The transcript has 3 exons. The record is from RefSeq and is a predicted model, not a curated record.
AUUGCGUAAUUAACCAAAAACAACUAGCAGUGACACCACUCGGCUAUUUAUUUUUCUCAUUUAGAGAAGAAAAAACGGGACGAAGAAAUUCUCCUGCGAUUUUGGAGCUUCUGAAAGAGUAAUUCCAGAUUUUUAUGAAGAAAAAACUCUCCUUCCAGACCUCCAUUUGCAUGCAUCUGGGACAUUUUACCUACAGUGACAGCUGGUGCUGGCCUUUUUCACAACAGUUUUUUGGACUCAUGGACAAUGGCAACACUGAUGCGCACACACGCACGCUGGAGCUCGUGCUACGAGGCUGCAAUGAAGACGUGACGGAUUGAGGGAUGGUGAUGAAAUCGGGCACAUGCCGGCAAGUAUCGAGGGCAACAACAGGAACAAGAGCGACACAGACAGUCGUAGCGCUGUGAGCUCCGGCAGCGAUCAGUCACUAACGCACGCUGAGAGGAUCCCCCCGUUCCUGCAUCGUUCCCCAAGGACGCUGGCUCCA